This 3609-nucleotide long non-coding RNA is filed under the name Rosa chinensis. RNAcentral's name for it is "sRNA RchiOBHm_Chr3g0493921". The record is from RNAcentral. Lineage: Eukaryota; Viridiplantae; Streptophyta; Magnoliopsida; Rosales; Rosaceae.
GUCGGAUAGGGAUAACCAUCGGGUUUGGAAUUGAGUGGCUCACAUCAAGAUCGAAAAAAGCGAAAGAAGAGAGAAGAAAGAAAAGAGGGAUAGAAGAGGGGAAGAUCUCGGUGAGUAGACAGUGUGGAAGGAGAUCAAGAUCAGAAAAAGGAGAGGAAGAGAAAAGAAAGUCGUGAUAGGCAUAACCGUCGGGUUUGGAACUGAGUCGCUCACAUCAAAAAAAGAUCUCGGCGACAAUAGACCGGCUGGAAGUCUGUAUAAAACGUCAAGCAUUGAGACACAAAAGAGAAGAUGGCAAAUCAGUUUGCGUUCCUUUUGGAGAAGGAGUUUUGGUUGGAGUUUAAACUUUUUGGUGGUCAACUGGUCAUAGAGUGCUGAUCAACAUGGUUAAGCCUUUUGACAAAGGAUGAUAUGUGCGAUUGUUUUGGUUGCCUGUUUCUCACGAGAAAACUAUGUCACAAGAUCUGGAGUUGGAAUUGCUUUUUGCAAUCAUGUCUCUAUGAACCUUUCAUGGCAAUGCUUAUGUGGAAGCUGAAAGUAUUGAGAAUGGUAUUAGUGUUCUGAACAAAGGUACGCCUAUAAAGUUAUGACUGUGCAGGUUGGUAAUUUAUAUCUGAUGGUAAAGGCUAAGAAGCAGGUUCGUAUUGAAAGAUAUUGUUAUUAGUCGAUGUAUACACACACAAAUACGACUUAUAUCAUUAGUGAGAGCUCAGUCAUAAUAUACCAACUUUGACAUCAAAAUCAGAUAGUUGAUAUUUAAAUUUUAAAAGCUAUAUAUAUAUAUUAAGUUAAUGUCAUUAGCUGCAUUUGUUGAAGUUUUUAUUUUUAUGGUCAAGCAUGAGAAAGAAAUCAUGAAGUCAUAUAUACAUAUGAAGCUGAUGAUAAGAUUCCGCCCAUUUCCAUGAAAACGGAUAGCCAAUACAAAUAUACAAUGCAGCAAUGAAAACCUAGAUGCCAACUGAUUUAGUGUUACUGUUACCUUUAGAAUCUCGCGAGAGGAACUAAAUUCCAGAAUAGACAUAAAAACUAGGGUUAUUAUCACAAAUGGUACCUGAACUUAUCCUCUAUUUUAUCGAUGAUACCUGAACUUCAAUUUUGAUCACAACCAGUACCCGAACUUUUCGACUUCAUUUUAAAUGGUACCUAAGGCCACCUUUGGUCACUAUUCCGGCCAAAAAAGCCAAAUCUAAAAAAAAAAAAAAAAAAAAAAUCAAGUUCAAGGCAAGUCUAUUAUCAAAAAAUUAUCACUAUAUAUGAUCGCAACCCUUGAAAUCAUCAAAAAUCAUCACUAUGAUCGCCUUACAUGCCGUUUUUAGUUGGAAUAUUGACCGGAGGUGACUCUAGGUACCAUUUAAAAUGAAAUCGAAAAGUUCGGGUACUGGUUGUGAUCAAAAUUGAAGUUCAGGUUCCAUCGAUAAGAUUGAGGUAUAGUUCAGGUACCAUUUGUGAUAAUAACCCUAAAAACUAUAAAACGGCAAUUAAUUGAGUGGUAAUGUUGUCAGUACACUCUUAGAUAAGGUUGUAUGCUAUUGGAUUCUUUUAUGCAAAAGUUCUUUGCAAUUAGUAUGUUUUUUUAAAGAUGAAUGAAUCGAUGAAAGAGAGUAGUCUUGAGUAGCUAAAUUUUAGAUUGUUUAAGGAGCCAGAGGAAAAGGCUUUUUAGUAUGUUUAAGUCAUAUCGAACAAAUACCAAUUAUUUGAGUAAUGAAACAGAUGAACUUCAUAAAACACAUAGGCAAAGGGUGAUGGCCAAAUAGGAAGAGGGUCAGUCUUCUCACAAGAAUCCUGUAUCUGUUCAGUUGAGUAUCCAAUUACUUGCUAUUUUAAUCAGAAUUUUAAGAAUUUACACAUUAUAUUGAUAAAGACGAGGUUGGAGUUUACCUGGAAUGAAUGAAAUUUAGCUGAAUUUGCAGGUACUAAAAGCUUUGAAAAUGACGGAGAAUCAAGGCCAUGAGUUUUUGAAAUCCUAGAACAGGGACUUGAACCAGCAAAUUUUUUAGGAACUAGAUGAAAUUUGAUUGGUUUUUAAUUUUUAUUUUUCUCUCUCUCUCCUCUUAUUGCUCUCUGGUGGCUAGAAAUUUGAUUUGUGAAGUCUAAAAUGAACGUAAGUUCCCAUUGUUUACAAUCAGCAACAAGACAUAACUAAUGUAUGUUACAUUUGAGAAAGCUUAAGGAGGAAAGCUGUGAAUUACAUAAGCAUUAAUAACCUAAAGUAUAGUACAUUUAGACUUGAUUAUUGAAAUUAGCUCUGCAAUUUCAAUAAUCAAGUCUGAAUGUAAACAUUAAUAACCUAAAGUAUAUUCAUUGGCAUUAGAGUCUAUGGUAACUAUUCAUUGUUGUGAUGGGUCUAAUUUGAGCUUCUGAUUUAAGCAUGAAUUUGCUUUUUGUUACAGGAAGGUCGCUGCAUGCAUGUCAUUGAAAGAAACUUGAGUGGAGUCAGACAUAAUUGUUGGGCAGUUGUUGUAACCUGGGGGGUUACCCCAAAUUGAUUUAGUUAGGUCUUGAGGAUUACAAUUAUUUUAUGUAUGAAGCGUGAGAGAUUCCAAAGCGUCUUAUCAGAGGACUGAUUAACUCAUUAUAAUCUUUAGUUUGCUCCAUUAUUGUCAUUGCAAGGAAUGCCCUGAGAAAUGUAAGGAAGCUGUUGCAUUACUAAUGGUUGCUGCAGCUAGAUUUUCUGAUUUACCAGAAUACGUUGGCUGACAUUAGGCAACUAUUUCAAGAGAGAUAUGCUAACUCUCUGGCUUAUUGUGUGGAUCAAAGUUUUUCAUGUGCUCUACUGCAUCACAACCUCAGAUUUGAGAAGGCACAAGAUUCAGGAAGGUUUAGGUAUGCAAGGGAUACAUCAUUCAGAAAGAGUCAUUUGAACUUCUGGAGCCAGUCAUCAGUUUUCCUUUGCAUUGUGUGCUUCUUCAGACAGUUUUUCGGGCAGUUACUAUGAGUACCUGACUCUGAGGCAUGGUUUUAUCUCGGCACAUUUAGCACCUGAGAUCAUUUAUUCUCAUGCUAAUGGGUGAGAGGAGGAUUUGGCAAAGGACUGGAAACUGCACUCGAAGCAUCUUUGUUGUACCUUACGAUUUUCUGAGGAGGUGAAACUAGUCACCCGAGACCAUAGAAAGGCAUAGAUGGACGGGGAGAUAUGAAGCUCAUUUAUGGAACAAAGGAUCUUGGAAUCCAAGACAAAGCAAGAAGGGAAAACAGGGCUUAUGACGAAGAAGAAUCCACAGCAAAAGUAUGAGUUGGCAGCACUCAAGUAGCGGGGAACAUCAACUUCUACAAAUUGAUCUGUUGAACGCUAACAAAAAGAAGAGUACUUGCCUCUCUAAGAAGCUAUUUAUUCAUCUUCAAAUUAAUAAGCAGUUAAGCAGCCUACCUUAACUGUUGUAAAAAUUUCAAGAGAUGAAUUUGAUCUAUCUAUUUACUAAUUAUUUGAUAGCUUUUUGUUCAAACAUGUUAAAUAUCAAUGUCAUACAAAAUUGCUCUCUAUAAAUGAGUGGAUGUAAAAUGACACGUCUUCAAUUUUUCAUUUCUGUUUGAUUAAGUAUUUACUAGCAAUAUAUAGCUCUCCAUGUAUCCUUUUAAAUUUUAAGGCAGUUGCAAUUUCAAAGGAAUUGG